Molecule: ribosomal RNA, 492 nt
Filed under: uncultured bacterium
Lineage: Bacteria
Description: partial 16S ribosomal RNA
Rfam family: Bacterial small subunit ribosomal RNA
Source: RNAcentral
AGUGAACGCUGGCGGUAGGCCUAACACAUGCAAGUCGAACGGCAGCACAGUAAGAGCUUGCUCUUACGGGUGGCGAGUGGCGGACGGGUGAGGAAUACAUCGGAAUCUACUUUUUCGUGGGGGAUAACGUAGGGAAACUUACUCUAAUACCGCAUACGACCUACGGGUGAAAGCAGGGGAUCUUCUGACCUUGCGCGAUUGAAUGAGCCGAUGUCGGAUUAGCUAGUUGGCGGGGUAAAGGCCCACCAAGGCGACGAUCCGUAGCUGGUCUGAGAGGAUGAUCAGCCACACUGGAACUGAGACACGGUCCAGACUCCUACGGGAGGCAGCAGUGGGGAAUAUUGGACAAUGGGCGCAAGCCUGAUCCAGCCAUACCGCGUGGGUGAAGAAGGCCUUCGGGUUGUAAAGCCCUUUUGUUGGGAAAGAAAAGCAGCAGGUUAAUACCCCGCUGUUCUGACGGUACCCAAAGAAUAAGCACCGGCUAACUUCGUG